Molecule: ribosomal RNA, 501 nt
Filed under: uncultured bacterium
Lineage: Bacteria
Description: bacterial SSU rRNA
Rfam family: Bacterial small subunit ribosomal RNA
Source: RNAcentral
AACGAACGCUGGCGGCGUGGAUAAGACAUGCAAGUCGAACGCUAAUUUCAGGGUAGCAAUAUUCUGAAGUUGGAGUGGCGCAAGGGUGCGUAACACGUGGGUAAUUUGCCGUGAAGCUCGGAAUAACUCGCUGAAAGGCGAGCUAAUGCCGGAUGUGAUGUUUGGGAGGCAUCUCCUAAACCUUAAAGCUGGGGACCGUAAGGCCUGGCACUUCACGAUAAGCCCGCGGCCUAUCAGCUAGUUGGUGAGGUAACGGCUCACCAAGGCUAAGACGGGUAGCUGGUCUGAGAGGACGACCAGCCACACUGGAACUGAGACACGGUCCAGACACCUACGGGUGGCAGCAGUCGAGAAUUUUUCACAAUGGGCGAAAGCCUGAUGGAGCGACGCCGCGUGGGGGAUGAAUGGCUUCGGCCCGUAAACCCCUGUCAUUUGCGAACAACCUCGUAACUUUAAAGAUGACGAGCUGAUUGUAGCGAAAGAGGAAGGGACGGCUAACUC